This 468-nucleotide ribosomal RNA is filed under the name uncultured bacterium. RNAcentral's name for it is "partial 16S ribosomal RNA". It matches the Rfam family "Bacterial small subunit ribosomal RNA", at positions 28 to 507 of the family's 1533-position model. The record is from RNAcentral.
GACGAACGCUGGCGGCGUGCUUAACACAUGCAAGUCGAACGGAAAGGCCCUGCUUUUGUGGGGUGCUCGAGUGGCGAACGGGUGAGUAACACGUGAGUAACCUGCCCUUGACUUUGGGAUAACUUCAGGAAACUGGGGCUAAUACCGGAUAGGAGCUCCUGCUGCAUGGUGGGGGUUGGAAAGUUUCGGCGGUUGGGGAUGGACUCGCGGCUUAUCAGCUUGUUGGUGGGGUAGUGGCUUACCAAGGCUUUGACGGGUAGCCGACCUGAGAGGGUGACCGGCCCCAAUGGGACUAAGAUACGGGCCAGACUCCUACGGGGGGCAGCAGUGGAGAAUAUUGCACAAUGGGCGGAAGCCUGAUGCAGCAGCGCCGCGUGCGGGGUGACGGCCUUCGGGUUGUAAACCGCUUUCGCCUGUGACGAAGCGUGAGUGACGGUAAUGGGUAAAGAAGCACCGGCUAACUACGUG